GUGUAAGCGAAGCGAUAAGUGGAGCGGUGAAAGGCUCAGUAACGGGCAAUUUAUUUGAUCUCCUGGGACGGACAACAUGGGGAAACUGAUGGGAAAACGUCUAAGUUGCAGUUUAUUGAUUGUGACGUAAACCUUUGUGUGCAGGAGAGUAAGAUGCCAUCCUAUCAGUUAGUAAGUAGGGUAAGGGCCUACUUAGACGAAGACGGGUACGGGGAAUGAGGGUUUGAUUCCGGAGAAGGAGCCUGAGAGAUGGCUACCAGGACCAAGGUCAGCAGCAGGCGCGAAAAUUAUCGAAGCCCGCCUAGGGGCGAUAGUGAGGAGACGUGUAUACGAAGUACGUGUAAAGACCGUACUAAUAACUGGAGGUCAAGUCUGGUGCCAGCAGCCGCG
RNAcentral lists this ribosomal RNA (390 nucleotides) under Dictyocoela roeselum. RNAcentral's name for it is "SSU rRNA". It matches the Rfam family "Microsporidia small subunit ribosomal RNA", at positions 54 to 404 of the family's 1311-position model. Lineage: Eukaryota; Fungi; Microsporidia. The record is from RNAcentral.